This is a long non-coding RNA of Bombus impatiens (common eastern bumble bee), 1433 nucleotides long. RefSeq lists it as uncharacterized. The transcript has 2 exons. NCBI's taxonomy places the organism in Eukaryota, Metazoa, Arthropoda, Insecta, Hymenoptera, Apidae. The record is from RefSeq and is a predicted model, not a curated record.
CCAAUCAGCGUGAUAUCCCCUCCUUAUCUCGGAAUUUCUAACGAAUCUUGGGAAAAACAAAUUUUACGCAGAUUUACUCGUCUGUCGUCUACCGCAGAUAACCGAAAACAAUGUUUGCCACAUAUACAUCAUCUGAAGGCGAAUAUAGAUAUCUUCAUGCGUUAAUUUAUUUCGUUUUUAUAUGCAUCCUUCACUACUUUAAUACACUUUUGCGACGACGUUUUCGCCUAGAGUUGCGUUAUAUUCAAUAGUUUGCGUCAGGUUCCAAUGUUAUAAUUUUGCAGAGAAUAGUUAGAUGAGUAAAUGUUUGCGUCUACAUCAAAUGUCACAACAGUCGAGAAUAUCAUCUGCAUCACUUUCCGAAAGAAGACAAUCCCCAUCAUAAGGAUUGAAUUUGAAAAGUUGGCAAUCUCUUCCUAAAAUAUUAUACCCGCAACUCUUUAAGAAGCAUGAAUGUCCGUGGCGAUCAUUGUUUACCCGAAAUCGUCAAACAAAAUCGUACAAAAAAUACGAAUAGACGAAAAAGCAUACUGUAUCCGAACAACCAACAAAUUUAUUACAAAAUAAAAGAGAAAGAGAAAUUGUACAAGAAAGACGGCACGAUAUCGAAAAGCAGCUGGUCAGAAAAGAAGGGCAAGUGAAAGUAGGACGACAUGAAUGCAACUACUAUCACUACCAGCAAUAGCAAGAAGCGGAUGAAGGGUGGAUAAGAUAAGACGAGGAGAAAAUGAAUUAUUUGGUAAUAUACCAAUGCUAGACUAUACAAGAGUACCGCUAAGAUUCGCUUACAACGAGGAUUCAAUUGAACGGCUAGCAAUUGAAUGGCAGACGAGCUGCGACUUUCAAAUUGAGAAAAGCCUAGGGAAGUCUUUCCGAGAAAUAGAAUUGCAAAAUGAACAUGCUCUGCUGUUGAAAGAAAAUAAAAAUUUGAAAGCACGAAUAAAAUAUGUCAAAUAGAACCUCUAAAGAACCGAAAUAUCCAGAAAUCAAUUGCGUGAAAAGUUGAGGAGAUUAGAUGUCUCGAGGUGGAAACAUUUAUGUAAGGUCAAAAUACGUGCUCAAGUUCAGUGAAGGAAAUGUUGCAAAAUGAUGGCCAUAGAGACAGAAAAUAAAAAAUUUACUGCAUCAGUAAAAAUUGUACAACUAAAAAAUUCCUUGAAGACGAAUCACAUCUUCUCCCAAAAAGAGGACGCUCCAUCAUAGCGAGCGAAGGUGCGGUUUCCUGCUGGCCCCGGAAACUCUUUUAUUCGUAAGAUGAAGCAAAACGAUCGCUAUGAAGUCAACCUGUGAAGCAAUCGUUUUCUGAAUUCCAUAGUUUCUGAAGAAUCGAUUCUUUCGGUGAUUCUAGGAGCAUUCAAAGAAUAACUUUUCGGUACAGCGGAGGAAGGCCCGAGGCUGGACGACAUCAAGAAAGAAAGACGCAGGUCUCAAAA